Molecule: ribosomal RNA, 498 nt
Filed under: uncultured bacterium
Lineage: Bacteria
Description: partial 16S ribosomal RNA
Rfam family: Bacterial small subunit ribosomal RNA
Source: RNAcentral
AUUGAACGCUGGCGGCAUGCUUUACACAUGCAAGUCGAACGGUAACAGGCCGCAAGGUGCUGACGAGUGGCGAACGGGUGAGUAAUGCAUCGGAACGUGCCCAGUCGUGGGGGAUAACGCAGCGAAAGCUGCGCUAAUACCGCAUACGAUCUAUGGAUGAAGGCGGGGGACCGUAAGGCCUCGCGCGAUUGGAGCGGCCGAUGUCAGAUUAGGUAGUUGGUGGGGUAAAGGCUCAACAAGCCGACGAUCUGUAGCUGGUCUGAGAGGACGACCCGCCACAUUUGGACUGAGACACGGCCCAGACGCCUACGGGAGGCAGCAGUGGGGAAGUUUGGACAAUGGGCGCAAGCCUGAUCCAGCAAUGCCACGUGCAGGAAGAAGGCCUUCGGGUUGUAAACUGCUUUUGUACGGAACGAAAAGGCUCUGGUUAAUACCUGGGGCUCAUGACGGUACCGUAAGAAUAAGCACCGGCUAACUACGUGCCAGCCGCCGCAGUAA